GAGUUUGAUCAUGGCUCAGAAUGAACGCUGGCGGCGUGCCUAAUACAUGCAAGUCGUGCGGCAGCAUGCCCUUCGGGGUGAUGGCGAGCGGCGGACGGCUGAGUAACGCGUAGGAAUCUACCCCAAAGUGAGGGAUAACUCCGGGAAACCGGAGCUAAUACCGCAUAUGGUCUUCGGAUUAAAGCUUCGGCGCUUUGGGAAGAGCCUGCGUUCGAUUAGCUUGUUGGUGAGGUAAUGGCUCACCAAGGCGACGAUCGAUAGCUGGUCUGAGAGGAUGACCAGCCAGACUGGAACUGAGACACGGUCCAGACUCCUACGGGAGGCAGCAGUAAGGAAUAUUACACAAUGGGGGAAACCCUGAUGUAGCAACGCCGCGUGCAGGAUGAAGGCCUUCGGUCGUAAACUGC
This 407-nucleotide ribosomal RNA is filed under the name uncultured bacterium. RNAcentral's name for it is "bacterial SSU rRNA". It matches the Rfam family "Bacterial small subunit ribosomal RNA", at positions 9 to 433 of the family's 1533-position model. The record is from RNAcentral.